Molecule: ribosomal RNA, 322 nt
Filed under: uncultured Bacteroidales bacterium
Lineage: Bacteria; Pseudomonadati; Bacteroidota; Bacteroidia; Bacteroidales
Description: bacterial SSU rRNA
Rfam family: Bacterial small subunit ribosomal RNA
Source: RNAcentral
GAUGAACGCUAGCUACAGGCUUAACACAUGCAAGUCGAGGGGCAGCAUUAUCGAAGCUUGCUUUGAUAGAUGGCGACCGGCGCACGGGUGCGUAACGCGUAUGCAACCUACCCGUAACAGGGGUAUAACGGAGGGAAACUUCCACUAAUCCCCCAUAUUGUCACUUUCUCGCAUGGGGAGGUGACGAAAGCUUAAUUGUGGUUACGGAUGGGCAUGCGUGACAUUAGGUAGUUGGCGGGGUAACGGCCCACCAAGCCGACGAUGUCUAGGGGAGCUGAGAGGCUUAUCCCCCACACUGGUACUGAGACACGGACCAGACUCC